ACGCUGGCGGCACGCCUAACACAUGCAAGUCGAACGAAGUAGCAAUACUUAGUGGCAGACGGGUGAGUAACAUGUAGGUAUCUGCCCUUUGGCCUGGAAUAACACGAGGAAACUUGUGCUAAUACUGGAUAAGUCUUUACGGAGAAAGCUUUAUGCACCAUUGGAUGAGCCUGCACUUGAUUAGUUUGUUGGUGGGGUAAUGGCCUACCAAGACUGUGAUCAAUAGCUGAUUUGAGAGGAUGAUCAGCCACAUUGGGACUGAGACACGGCCCAAACUCCUACGGGAGGCAGCAGUGAGGAAUCUUGCACAAUGGAGGAAACUCUGAUGCAGCGAUGCCGCGUGAGUGAAGAAGGCCCUUGGGUUGUAAAGCUCUUUCGUCGGGGAAGAAAAUGACUGUACCCGAAUAAGAAGGUCCGGCUAACUUCGUGCCAGCAGCCGCGGUAAUACGAAGGGACCUAGCGUAGUUCGGAAUUACUGGGCUUAAAGAGUUCGUAGGUGGUUGAAAAAGUUAGUGGUGAAAUCCCAGAGCUUAACUCUGGAACUGCCAUUAAAACUUUUCAGCUAGAGUAUGAUAGAGGAAAGCAGAAUUUCUAGUGUAGAGGUGAAAUUCGUAGAUAUUAGAAAGAAUACCAAUUGCGAAGGCAGCUUUCUGGAUCAUUACUGACACUGAGGAACGAAAGCAUGGGUAGCGAAGAGGAUUAGAUACCCUCGUAGUCCAUGCCGUAAACGAUGUGUGUUAGACGUUGGAAAUUUAUUUUCAGUGUCGCAGCGAAAGCGAUAAACACACCGCCUGGGGAGUACGACCGCA
RNAcentral lists this ribosomal RNA (809 nucleotides) under uncultured Pelagibacteraceae bacterium. RNAcentral's name for it is "bacterial SSU rRNA". It matches the Rfam family "Bacterial small subunit ribosomal RNA", at positions 33 to 890 of the family's 1533-position model. The record is from RNAcentral. Lineage: Bacteria; Pseudomonadati; Pseudomonadota; Alphaproteobacteria; Candidatus Pelagibacterales; Candidatus Pelagibacteraceae.